UGGCCUCGAAAGUCCGUCGGGAAAUCCACUGGCUCAACCAGUGGGCGUCCGGCGGAAACUUCGAGGCUUGGGACCGGAAGGCUCGAGAGGUACGUCCGGGGUAGGAGUGAAAUCCCGUAAUCCCGAACGGACCACCGAUGGCGAAAGCAUCUCGAGAAGACGGAUCCGACAGUGAGGGACGAAAGCUAGGGUCUCGAACCGGAUUAGAUACCCGGGUAGUCCUAGCCGUAAACGAUGUUCGCUAGGUGUGGCACAGGCUACGCGCCUGUGCUGUGCCGUAGGGAAGCCGAGAAGCGAACCGCCUGGGAA
RNAcentral lists this ribosomal RNA (309 nucleotides) under uncultured archaeon. RNAcentral's name for it is "bacterial SSU rRNA". It matches the Rfam family "Archaeal small subunit ribosomal RNA", at positions 526 to 834 of the family's 1478-position model. The record is from RNAcentral.